CACGUAGUUAGCCUGUGCUUCUUCUCCAGGUACCGUCACAAAACGCUUCGUCCCUGGCGAAAGGAGUUUACAACCCGAAGGCCGUCAUCCCCCACGCGGCGUCGCUGCAUCAGGCUUGCGCCCAUUGUGCAAUAUUCCCCACUGCUGCCUCCCGUAGGAGUCUGGGCCGUAUCUCAGUCCCAAUGUGGCCGACCAACCUCUCAGUCCGGCUACCCGUCGCCGCCUUGGUAGGCCAUUACCCCACCAACAAGCUGAUAGGCCGCGGGCUCAUCCUACACCGAAAAAACUUUCCACCACACACACUAAAGCAUGGUCCUAUCCGGUAUUAGACCCAGUUUCCCAGGCUUAUCCCAGAGUGCAGGGCAGAUCACCCACGUGUUACUCACCCGUUCGCCACUCGAGUACCUCCGAAGAGGCCUUUCCGUUCGACUUGCAUGUGUUAAGCACGCCGCCAGCGUGUCCUGAGCCACGGAGUCAACUAC
RNAcentral lists this ribosomal RNA (482 nucleotides) under uncultured Corynebacterium sp. Its description in RNAcentral is "partial 16S ribosomal RNA". The record is from RNAcentral. Lineage: Bacteria; Bacillati; Actinomycetota; Actinomycetes; Mycobacteriales; Corynebacteriaceae.